CCUACGGGGGGCAGCAGUGGGGAAUAUUGCACAAUGGGCGGAAGCCUGAUGCAGCAACGCCGCGUGAGGGACGACGGCCUUCGGGUUGAAACCUCUGCAGAAAGCGAAACGGUACCUGAAGAAAAAGCACCGGCUAACUACGUGCCAGCAGCCGCGGUAAUACGUAGGGUGCAAGCGUUGUCCGGAAUUAUUGGGCGUAAAGAGCUCGUAGGCGGUUUGUCGCGUCUGCUGUGAAAACGCGAGGCUCAACCUCGCGCCUGCAGUGGGUACGGGCAGACUAGAGUGCGGUAGGGGAGAUUGGAACUCCUGGUGUAGCGGUGGAAUGCGCAGAUAUCAGGAAGAACACCGAUGGCGAAGGCAGAUCUCUGGGCCGUACUGACGCUGAGGAGCGAAAGAGUGGGGAGCGAACAGGAUUAGAUACCCUUGUAGUC
Molecule: ribosomal RNA, 431 nt
Filed under: uncultured bacterium
Lineage: Bacteria
Description: partial 16S ribosomal RNA
Rfam family: Bacterial small subunit ribosomal RNA
Source: RNAcentral